RNAcentral lists this long non-coding RNA (864 nucleotides) under Olea europaea (common olive). Its description in RNAcentral is "long non-coding RNA (OEUR_LNC015475)". Lineage: Eukaryota; Viridiplantae; Streptophyta; Magnoliopsida; Lamiales; Oleaceae. The record is from RNAcentral.
ACGUAGAGAUUAUUAUACACAACAAAGCUUGAUUAGAGUGAGAGUAAUUUUAAGAAGGUACAGGGAAAGAGUGAGAACUAAUGGCAAGAGUUUCCAGAGGAUAGAAGGGCAUUAAAGAUAUUUUCACAAUUAUGAAUAAAGUUAACGAUGCAAUUGCUACAUGUCAAACUUUGAGUGAUUAAGUGACGAGGGCGUAAACAAACUAAUGAUAUUUUCUCAAUUAUGAGCAAAGUUAAGGAUGCUACUGCUAUAUGACAAAAUAUCUGUGGUAAAGUGACCAGAAAGUUAACAGGAAUUAAACUAAGAAUAUGAUAUCACUUUUUUUCUCAAUUAUGGGCGAAGUUAAUGGCGCUCUAUCUUCUUCUUAGAUAAAUAGGCGAAGACUCAAAUGCUGAAAUCACCAAUGCUAAAAAAGCCUAAAUAUCAAUCAACAUGCAGCAAAAAAUUCUAACUAAAAAUGCCAAAAUUUUUCAUCAACAUUUGAUGAUCUCCCCAGAAACUGCACCAAGAAAUGGUAGUAUAUCUUAUUAACAGGAAAAAGGAAUACCUCACAAGAACAAAGCACUGAUUUUUUACAAUAUUGAAGAAAUUCUUUUAGUAGAAAAAAGCAAUAAAAUAAACAUGUGAAAAGGAUAAAAUUGCAUAUAAGAUGAAGCUGAAGAGAAAUUAAUAACCAAUUAAAAAUGAGAGGUGAGAAUUAUUUCAAGACUUUACCUUGCGAAGAGUAUACUAGAUUGGACAGAAAUAUUAUUUUGAUAAAGCUUAAGUAGAGGGAGAGAGUAAAUUUAAGAAACUUGGAAUAGAGGGCUACAGAGUGUAGAUAGAUAGAGAGAGAGAGAGAGAGAGAGAGAGAGAGAGAGAGAG